RNAcentral lists this ribosomal RNA (254 nucleotides) under uncultured bacterium. RNAcentral describes it as "partial 16S ribosomal RNA". It matches the Rfam family "Bacterial small subunit ribosomal RNA", at positions 524 to 776 of the family's 1533-position model. The record is from RNAcentral.
UACGGGGGGGGCAAGCGUUGUUCGGAAUUACUGGGCGUAAAGGGCGCGUAGGCGGCAAUUCAAGUCAUCUGUGAAAUCUCCGGGCUUAACUCGGAACGGUCAGAUGAUACUGCUUUGCUAGAGUGCGGAAGGGGCAAUCGGAAUUCUCGGUGUAGCGGUGAAAUGCGUAGAUAUCGAGAGGAACACCAGAGGUGAAGACGGGUUGCUGGGCCGACACUGACGCUGACAGCGCGAAAGCCAGGGGAGCAAACGGG